Molecule: ribosomal RNA, 253 nt
Filed under: uncultured bacterium
Lineage: Bacteria
Description: partial 16S ribosomal RNA
Rfam family: Bacterial small subunit ribosomal RNA
Source: RNAcentral
UACGGGGGGGGCAAGCGUUGUUCGGAAUUACUGGGCGUAAAGGGCUCGUAGGUGGCCAACUAAGUCAGACGUGAAAUCCCUCGGCUUAACCGGGGAACUGCAUCUGAUACUGGAUGGCUUGAGAUUGGGAGAGGGAUGCGGAAUUCCAGGUGUAGCGGUGAAAUGCGUAGAUAUCUGGAGGAACACCGGUGGCGAAGGCGGCAUCCUGGACCAACACUGACGCUGAGGAGCGAAAGCCAGGGGAGCAAACAGG